GUAGACGUCUACCCUCUCUCCCCUUCACCCUCACCCUGACCAGUCGAGGCAGACGUCCAUCCUCUCUCCCCUUCACCCUCACCCCGACCAGUCGAGGUAGACGUCUACCCUCCCUGAGCCCGGUUCUGCUGGAGGUUUUUCCUGUUAAAAUUGAGGUGUUUUAUUCCAGAUUUGUUGGCUUUCUCUCUGUAAUUUCAUAAUUUCUCCACCUUACUAUGUGAAGUAAUUUGAAUGACAUGUUGUGAUGGUUAUCUUAACUCCUCUUUCAAACCAUCUCUGCCUACAAUAUGAACAUUACAGUCCUCAAAAGAGUGUCCCGUUCCCUUGUCAUUUAGAUGCCUAAGGAAUUGACUCUUCUGUAAUAUACCUUGCACUUAUGAAACAGUUAACUCUUCCCUAUAUAUCCGUCUGCUAUUGACCUAUGAACAUGGCAUCGGUUUUUGUAACAAUGCUUCUUGUUCUGUCCCUAUUAAAUAACCGUAUAAAUAAAUCUGUGCACUCAUGCUGCAUUGGACUGCAUCUACAACAUUGCUCAGCUUGUGUUUGGUGGUUUUAUCUUUAGGGUGAACCACUUUUUGAUGUUGCUGUUUCACAGUGUUGUAUUUUUCAGAAAAGCCUUCUAAGUUCUUCACCAGCUACAUAAGGGGUGCUGUUGGAAAAAUGUUUUGCUGGCUGUUCUUUAUGGAAAUGGUUUGAUGUAUAUCAACAUUCUGGUUAAAGUAUAGCUCCCAAUAUGACUUCCUAUUUAAAAAUCUACAACCUAUGAGCAAGAAAACUAUACUGGUUUGAGAAAUGUAACUGCAAAACACACAAGAUGUUUCCUACUUGAACUUCAUCCUCACUGUAUGUGCAUUUGAGAAUUUAAGUUGUGAGGUUAGAAAACCAUGUUUGUACCUCUACUAUACCUCUUAAAAUCCGAUUUAAGGUAAAGUCAGACAAAUAUUUGCCCUUCAGUAGGUGGUAAACAGUAAAAGAAAUCUUCACAACAACACUCAAACAUCCAAGUGGGAUAGCAUGAAGUAAAAACACCUGUAAGUGUUGGGCUGUCGAAUUUUAAUUUCUUCCUUUGUCCAAUCAACACUCCAAUAUCGAAAGAUUUUCUUAACAGUCACUGGAGAUCGCAAAGACAUAGCAAAUAUGCACUUCUGAGAAGCUGAAACCAGUGAAUUUUCUGUAUUUGGAUUUAAAAACUGUUCUAUUAACAAAUGCCUCCAGCUCUGGGUUUGUGCAGGAUUAUUGUACCACCUCUGGUAUGAUGUGCGUUUAAAAAAACAAAACAAAACUCCAUAGAAAAUAACAAAUACAUAAUUGAGACCAUUUACAUUGCAAACCAACAAAUGCCUUCAAAUCACUGCAAGAAAUAAACAGCUGUGUAUUUGGUUUACUGUUUAUUCCUCUAAUCCACGUCUCAGAAUUUCUUUCUGUGCUCUUAUUGUGAAAUUUUAAAGAACUAAGUCACUAAAGCAAGAACCGUGUGACAGUGAAUGAGUGGGUGAGAAAUAAAGCACAUCAGAGAAUAAACUACAACCCAAAGUAACAUCCUGAAUAUUAACCCUCAUGUCAUCCUGCGGGUCAAAACUGACCCGUUUUAAAGUUUGAAAAUGUGGAAAAUAUAAUUUCACAGUGAAACUUCUGAUGUCCACAUUUUCAACAUUUUUGGGAAAUCUUUGAACAUUUUUUGGUGGAAAAAGAGAAAUGUUGAAAACGUUUCUUAAGAACAUUCACAAAACAAUCAACCAAAAUCCAGCAAAUUUCGCUGGAUUUUGGUUGAUUUUUUUUUGUGAAUGUUCUUAAAGAGAAUCUUAAAAAUUUUACUGAUAUAUAUGGAAUCACUUUAGAUAUUUUUAGGAGUUUUUUGGAAGAUUUUUACUCAUUUUUGAAAAAUAUUUACAGGAAUUUUCUUCCAAAAUUUGGGGAAUUUUUUUUAAAAUAAAACUUUUAAGGGAAACUUUUAAGGAAUUAUUGGAAUUUUCUUCCUAAAGGUUUUUCAAAUUUUCAGAAAUUUGGUGAAUCUUUUUGCUGAAUUUUUGAUUUUUUUUUCAGACAAAGAAACAUUAUUUCUUGGUGCUCGUAAAUGAGGACAACAGGAGGGUUAAGGAAAGAUGAUCCAGGUUCGUACAAAAUUCACUAAAAUUACUGUAAUAAAAAGGAACUAAUAAACACAAUAUUAUUAAAUACAGUUACAUAAAUAAAGCUGACUCUCAAAUAGCUGAUUUUUUCUGACAAAUUGUUUUCCAGGAACAAUUUCAAUUAACAUUUCCAUCACUGUUCUCCUUACUGUUCACAACACUUGGCCAUUUAAUAUUCUCAUUACUAAAAUAAUCCAGCACAGUAAAAUGUUCAAAUACGGCACCGAUGAUAUCAAUAAAUAAUUCAAGCACGGUGAGCGACAUGCAAAUACAAACACGUGAACUGCGAACGUCUCGGAACUUAAAAAACUGACAUAAACAGUGUGACAGAAGAUGCAUCUUUCUAUUCAAACCGCUGCACAAGCAUCGUCUUCUUGGCUUUGAUGCUGUGAGGAGUGGAACCAGGCAGGUGAAGGAGAAGCAGCCGCCCUCCACGUGACCAACGCCCCCCUGCC
Molecule: long non-coding RNA, 2584 nt
Organism: Amphiprion ocellaris (clown anemonefish)
Lineage: Eukaryota; Metazoa; Chordata; Actinopteri; Pomacentridae
Source: Ensembl